RNAcentral lists this ribosomal RNA (492 nucleotides) under uncultured bacterium. Its description in RNAcentral is "partial 16S ribosomal RNA". It matches the Rfam family "Bacterial small subunit ribosomal RNA", at positions 29 to 507 of the family's 1533-position model. The record is from RNAcentral.
AGUGAACGCUGGCGGUAGGCCUAACACAUGCAAGUCGAACGGCAGCACAGUAAGAGCUUGCUCUUACGGGUGGCGAGUGGCGGACGGGUGAGGAAUACAUCGGAAUCUACUUUUUCGUGGGGGAUAACGUAGGGAAACUUACGCUAAUACCGCAUACGACCUACGGGUGAAAGCAGUGGAUCUUCGGACCUUGCGCGAUUGAAUGAGCCGAUGUCGGAUUAGCUAGUUGGCUGGGUAAUGGCCCACCAAGGCGACGAUCCGUAGCUGGUCGGAGAGGAUGAUCGGCCACACUGGAACUGAGACACGGUCAAGACUCCUACGGGAGGCAGCAGUGGGGAAUAUUGGACAAUGGGCGCAAGCCUGAUCCAGCCAUACCGCGUGGGUGAAGAAGGCCUUCGGGUUGUAAAGCCCUUUUGUUGGGAAAGAAAAGCAGCAGGUUAAUACCCCGCUGUUCUGACGGUACCCAAAGAAUAAGCACCGGCUAACUUCGUG